Molecule: long non-coding RNA, 320 nt
Filed under: Dromaius novaehollandiae (emu)
Lineage: Eukaryota; Metazoa; Chordata; Aves; Casuariiformes; Dromaiidae
Description: lncRNA (ENSDNVG00000015043.1)
Source: RNAcentral
CUAAGAGGCCACUGGAGAGAAGAGGAACAAACACAUGCAAAUAUGGCCUUGCAUAUGACUUAGCUCCUGAAAGGACACAAUUCUAAUUCACCCACUGUGAAAAAAAGGACUCCUCUAAGAAAAAAGUGUUCUCAAAAGACGAAAUAAGCUGCAACUUUCCAGCUUUGUUCUGGGACCCUCUCCAAGCAGUACAAGAGGAGGACAGUGCGGAAGUCCACCUUACAGCCUACAGAUUAGCAAUGAUGCUCCACCUGACAGCUUCUUGUUUUGUAUGCUUUGGAGUUUCCAAACAUUUAGACGAAUUCAGAAAUUGAUCAGAA